GGGGGUGUAGCUCAGGGGCAGAGCAUUUGACUGCAGAUCAAGAGGUUCUUGGUACAAAUCCAGGCACCCCCU
RNAcentral lists this transfer RNA (72 nucleotides) under Echinops telfairi (small Madagascar hedgehog). RNAcentral describes it as "tRNA-Cys (GCA) (tRNA-Cys-GCA-11-1)". It matches the Rfam family "tRNA". From Rfam's summary of the family: Transfer RNA (tRNA) molecules are approximately 80 nucleotides in length. Their secondary structure includes four short double-helical elements and three loops (D, anti-codon, and T loops). Lineage: Eukaryota; Metazoa; Chordata; Mammalia; Afrosoricida; Tenrecidae. The record is from RNAcentral.